Molecule: ribosomal RNA, 497 nt
Filed under: uncultured bacterium
Lineage: Bacteria
Description: partial 16S ribosomal RNA
Rfam family: Bacterial small subunit ribosomal RNA
Source: RNAcentral
GAUGAACGCUGGCGGCGUGCCUAAUACAUGCAAGUCGAGCGAACGGACGAGAAGCUUGCUUCUCUGAUGUUAGCGGCGGACGGGUGAGUAACACGUGGCUAACCUACCUAUAAGACUGGGAUAACUUCGGGAAACCGUAGCUAAUACCGGAUAAUAUUUUGAACCGCAUGGUUCAAAAGUGAAAGACGGUCUUGCUGUCACUUAUAGAUGGAUCCGCGCUGCAUUAGCUAGUUGGUAAGGUAACGGCUUACCAAGGCAACGAUGCAUAGCCGACCUGAGAGGGUGAUCGGCCACACGGGAACUGAGACACGGUCCAUACUCCUACGGGAGGCAGCAGUAGGGAAUCUGCCGCAAUGGGCGAAAGCCUGACGGAGCAACGCCGCGUGAGUGAUGAAGGUCUUCGGAUCGUAAAACUCUGUUAUUAGGGAAGAACAUAUGUGUAAGUAACUGUGCACAUCUUGACGGUACCUAAUCAGAAAGCCACGGCUAACUACGUG